Molecule: ribosomal RNA, 118 nt
Filed under: Periophthalmus magnuspinnatus
Lineage: Eukaryota; Metazoa; Chordata; Actinopteri; Gobiiformes; Gobiidae
Source: RNAcentral
CAUUGUGGCUAUACCUGCUUGUCAAUGCCUGAUCUUGUCUGAUCCCAGAGGCAGAGCAGGGUUGGGCCUGGUUAGUACUUUGAUGGUAGACCGCUGGGAAUACCGGGUGCCAUAAUGG